GAUGAACGCUGGCGGCGUGCCUAAUACAUGCAAGUCGAGCGAACGGACGAGAAGCUUGCUUCUCUGAUGUUAGCGGCGGACGGGUGAGUAACACGUGGAUAACCUACCUAUAAGACUGGGAUAACUUCGGGAAACCGGAGCUAAUACCGGAUAAUAUUUUGAACCGCAUGGUUCAAAAGUGAAAGACGGUCUUGCUGUCACUUAUAGAUGGAUCCGCGCUGCAUUAGCUAGUUGGUAAGGUAACGGCUUACCAAGGCAACGAUGCAUAGCCGACCUGAGAGGGUGAUCGGCCACACUGGAACUGAGACACGGUCCAGACUCCUACGGGAGGCAGCAGUAGGGAAUCUUCCGCAAUGGGCGAAAGCCUGACGGAGCAACGCCGCGUGAGUGAUGAAGGUCUUCGGAUCGUAAAACUCUGUUAUUAGGGAAGAGCAUAUGUGUAAGUAACUGUGCACAUCUUAACGGUACCUAAUCAGAAAGCCACGGCUAACUACGUG
Molecule: ribosomal RNA, 497 nt
Filed under: uncultured bacterium
Lineage: Bacteria
Description: partial 16S ribosomal RNA
Rfam family: Bacterial small subunit ribosomal RNA
Source: RNAcentral